CAGUACGCUGGUAGCUGAGAGCCAGGGGCGGUAGCGUG
This is a regulatory RNA element of Enterobacter cloacae, 38 nucleotides long. It matches the Rfam family "JUMPstart RNA". NCBI's taxonomy places the organism in Bacteria, Pseudomonadati, Pseudomonadota, Gammaproteobacteria, Enterobacterales, Enterobacteriaceae. The record is from Rfam.